This 2893-nucleotide ribosomal RNA is filed under the name human gut metagenome. RNAcentral describes it as "bacterial LSU rRNA". It matches the Rfam family "Bacterial large subunit ribosomal RNA". The record is from RNAcentral.
UCAAGCGAAGAAGAGCGCAGGGUGGAUGCCUUGGCACUAAGAGCCGAUGAAAGACGUGAUAAGCUGCGAAAAGUCACGGGGAGGAGCAAAUAUCCUUUGAUCCGUGAAUGUCUGAAUGGGGAAACCCACAUGAGAAUACCUCAUGUAUCCAUACGCCAAUCCAUAACGUAUGGAAGGGAACCCGGUGAACUGAAACAUCUAAGUAGCCGGAGGAAGAGAAAGAAAAAUCGAUUUCCAAAGUAGCGGCGAGCGAAAUGGAAAGAGCCCAAACCGGAGUGCGUGCAUUCCGGGGUUCGGACCGCAUAAUUGAUUCAGUAAUUCCAGCAGAACUGUUUUGGGAAAGCAGACCAGAGAGGGUGAAAGUCCCGUAAGCGAAAGAAGAGCUGACAUGGCGGUAUCCAGAGUACAUCGAGACACGAGAAACCUUGAUGGAAUAAGCGGGGACCACCCCGUAAGGCUAAAUACUACUUAGUGACCGAUAGCGCAUAGUACUGUGAAGGAAAGGUGAAAAGGACCCCGGGAGGGGAGUGAAAGAGAACCUGAAACCCUGUGUUUACAAGCUGUGGAAGCACUUUAUAUGUGCGACCGCGUACUUUUUGUAGAACGGUCCGGCGAGUUACGCUUACUGGCAAGGUUAAGCACUUCAGGUGCGGAGCCGUAGGGAAACCAAGUCUUAAGAGGGCCUUAAGUCAGUAGGAGUAGACCCGAAACCGGGUGAUCUAUCCAUGUCCAGGUUGAAGCUGCCGUAAGAGGUAGUGGAGGACCGAACCCACAUCCGUUGAAAAGGGUGGGGAUGAGGUGUGGAUAGGGGAGAAAUUCCAAUCGAACCCGGAGAUAGCUGGUUCUCCUCGAAAUAGCUUUAGGGCUAGCCUCGUUUUAGUCUUGUGGAGGUAGAGCACUGAAUUUCCGCGGGGGCGUCAAAGCUUACCAAAGAAUAUCAAACUCCGAAUGCCAUUAAGAUGAUGAACGGGAGUCAGACUGUACGAGAUAAGUUGGACAGUCAAAAGGGAAAGAGCCCAGACCACCAGCUAAGGUCCCAAAGUGUGUGUUAAGUGGAAAAGGAUGUGGGGAUUCAAAGACAACUAGGAUGUUGGCUCAGAAGCAGCCAUUCAUUCAAAGAGUGCGUAACAGCUCACUAGUCGAGAGUCCCUGCGCCGAAAAUGUCCGGGGCUGAAACACAACACCGAAGCUGUGGAAUCAUACCUAGUAUGAUUGGUAGAGGAGCAUUCUUAAGACCGACGAAGCUGUACCGAUAAGGAGCAGUGGAGGGAUAAGAAGAGAGAAUGCCGGAAUGAGUAGCGAGAGGAAGGUGAGAAUCCUUCCGGCCGAAUAUCCAAGGAUUCCAGGGUAAAGCUGAUCUGCCCUGGGUAAGUCGGGACCUAAGGAGAGGCCGAGAGGCGUAUCCGAUGGACAACAGGUUUAGAUUCCUGUACCACAUAUGGUCAGAACUGUGGGGACGCAGAAGGAAAGCAUGAGCCAGGAAUGGAAAGACUGGUACAAGCAGAGGGGAUGGUGUGCUGGCAAAUCCGCACACGAAAGUCCUUGCUGUGAUGUGGAGCGAACCAAAGUAGCGAAGCAUGCGGACCGGCUGCCGAGAAAAGCCGCUAUUGUGCCAUAUGUGCCCGUACCGUAAACCGACACAGGUGGAUGAGGAGAGAAUCCUAAGGCCGACGGAAGAAGCAUUGUUAAGGAACUCGGCAAAAUGACCCCGUAACUUCGGGAGAAGGGGUGCCACAGAGAUGUGGCCGCAGAGAAUAGGCUCAAGCAACUGUUUAGCAAAAACACAGGUCUAUGCAAAACCGAAAGGUGAAGUAUAUGGGCUGACGCCUGCCCGGUGCUGGAAGGUUAAGGGGAGAGGUUAGCGCAAGCGAAGCUUUGAACUUAAGCCCCAGUAAACGGCGGCCGUAACUAUAACGGUCCUAAGGUAGCGAAAUUCCUUGUCGGGUAAGUUCCGACCCGCACGAAAGGCGUAAUGAUUUGAGCACUGUCUCGACAAUGCAUCCGGUGAAAUUGAAGUACCAGUGAAGAUGCUGGUUACCUGCGCCAGGACGGAAAGACCCCAUGGAGCUUUACUCCAGCUUGAUACUGGGAUUCGAUACUGUAUGUACAGGAUAGGUGGGAGACGUUGAGCAUAGAACGCCAGUUUUAUGUGAGUCGCUGUUGGGAUACCACCCUUGCAGUAUUGGAUUUCUAACCUGCACCCAUGACCUGGGUGGGGGACAAUGUCUGGCGGGGAGUUUGACUGGGGCGGUCGCCUCCGAAAGGGUAUCGGAGGCGCUCAAAGGUUCCCUCAGAAUGGUUGGAAACCAUUCGAAGAGUGCAAAGGCAGAAGGGAGCUUGACUGCGACACCGACGGGUGGAGCAGGUACGAAAGUAGGACUUAGUGAUCCGGUGGCAUAAAGUGGGAUUGCCAUCGCUCAACGGAUAAAAGCUACCCUGGGGAUAACAGGCUUAUCACUCCCAAGAGUUCACAUCGACGGAGUGGUUUGGCACCUCGAUGUCGGCUCAUCGCAUCCUGGGGCUGUAGUAGGUCCCAAGGGUUGGGCUGUUCGCCCAUUAAAGCGGUACGCGAGCUGGGUUCAGAACGUCGUGAGACAGUUCGGUCCCUAUCCGGCGCGGGCGUAGGAUAUCUGAGGGGAGCUGGCCUUAGUACGAGAGGACCGGGCUGGACGGACCACUGGUGCAUCAGCUGGAUACCAAAUCCAUAGCUGGGUAGCCAAGUCCGGAAGGGAUAAACGCUGAAGGCAUCUAAGCGUGAAGCCCCCCCCAAGAUGAGAUGUCCCUGUCUAUAAGACAGUAAGACCCCUGAAAGAGUAUCAGGUAGAUAGGGCAGAGGUGGAAGCACGGUAACGUGUGGAGCUGACUGUUACUAAUCGGUCGAGGGCUUGACCAA